This 73-nucleotide transfer RNA is filed under the name Canis lupus familiaris (dog). It matches the Rfam family "tRNA". From Rfam's summary of the family: Transfer RNA (tRNA) molecules are approximately 80 nucleotides in length. Their secondary structure includes four short double-helical elements and three loops (D, anti-codon, and T loops). The record is from Rfam by way of RNAcentral. RNAcentral also lists the same sequence under 1 other name. Lineage: Eukaryota; Metazoa; Chordata; Mammalia; Carnivora; Canidae.
ACUUGGCUGGCUCAGUCAGUAGAGCAUGUGACUCUUGAUCUUGGAGCUGUGAGUUUGAGCCCCACAUCAAGUG